UUUAUUUCAACCAGAUUUCCCACUUUUCCAUACCUAAGGCCAGAACAUCGACACCAUUUUUUCACCUUUAAGAUGAUUUAUUUUAACGAAAAAAUGACUUGCGAACGGAAUAUAGUAUGCUUUUCUACGUAAAUAUAUAAUCUUCUUCUCUACUAGUCACUGACAGCUUUUGAACUAAUCAAAAAGAUACGCUGAAGAAAGUCUUUGUAUAUUCAAACAUAUUCUUAAUUAAGUUUUAAGUUUUUCAAUUGUAUUUGUGUUGUGUAAUAUGAUAUAAAGUUUAGAGAGAAAUGAUUUUAUAUUUUUAUUUUAUAAAAAUAAAAAAGAUCUAUAACUAAGAGUGCGUCUGGUAUGCUUCUGGAAACACGGAGCGCUCCGUGCUUUCAAGUCGUUUUCGAUGUUGGGACUUUCGAAUCAACGAUCAACUCCGUUAGACUUGACCUAGAAUAUUUUAAGUAUCUAGACAAUAAAUUUUGCAAUUUUUUUAUAUCAUUUGCCUAGUGAUUGAAGUGGCUCAAAAUCAACGGCUGAAAAUAAAAAUCUUACAAAAUAUGAUGAUAUGACAUUAAAAUUUUAGAUCAGAAAUAUUGAUCUUGUUUUAUAUAGUAUAAAAAAUUUUCUAUCAAAAUUUCAUGUGAUUUGGAUAUUUCUACACCGUUAAACUUGCAAACGGCUCACCACGACCUUUAAAAUUAUUGAUUUUGAGCUCCUUCGAUCAGUAGGCAAAUGAUAUCGAAAAAUCACAAAAUUUAUUUUCUAGGUACUUCAAAUAUUCUAGAUCAAGUUUAAAAGAGCCGAUCGUCGAUUCGAAAAUUCCAACAUCGAAAACGAUUUGAACGCACGGAAGGCUUGCUACUUUCAAAAGUAUACCAGCUCACUCCUAAAACUUAUGUUUUAAUGUAUCGUUGGCUGUGAUCCGAUCUCUCAGUCACGGGCUGAGCAAACUUUGGCCCAACGUAGAGUUUUCUUUAGAUUAGAAAUCUAAAAGCUUCAGUUUUCUUUUUUUUUUUUUAUUCAUUCAUCUAUUUAUUAUUUUCACAUUUCUGCCCGUUUGGUUUAGGGCAUGUUUGGUUGCUCGAAAGUCAGCGAAGUGAAAAAAGUCACUUUUAUGAAAGUGACUUUUACAAAAGUGAAUUUUCAGUUCGAUUGUUUGGUUGCUAUAAAGUAAAAAAUUAAAACUAUAAUUUUUUAAUUUUUUAAUUAUUAAAUUAUAUAUAAAUAGGUGAAAAUAUAAACAAACUACUUAUACAUACAAUUUAAAUUAAAAAUUUAAAUUUAAAUUAAUAUUUAGAAUUCAAAGUUAUUUUUAAAAUUUAAAUUUAAACUUAAAUCUGAGUUGAAUUUAUAAUUAAAAUUUAAGACAUAAAUUUAAUUUACAAUUUGAAUUUAAAAUUUAAGUUGUAACUUAAAAAUGAAAUUAAAUUUUAAAAUAAAAGUUCAACAAAAAAAUUAGAAUUUAAAUUUAAAUUUAAAUUUAAAUUCUAGAAUUCAAAUUUAAAUUCAAAUUCAAAUUUACAUUCUAGAAUUCAAAUUUAAAUUUAAAUAAAAAUUAGAAUUUAAAUUUAAAUUUAAAUUCUAGAAUUCAAAUUUAAACAAAAAAUAAAAUUUAAAUAUUUAGAUUUAAAUAUAAAGUCAAAAAUUUGAAUUUAAAAUUUUAUAUUGAAUUUUAAUUUACAAAUAAAAUUUAAAACGUGAUCAUAAUUUUAAUUCAAAUUUAAAGUGAAAUUGAACUUUAAAAAUAAAUUUAAAUAUUAAAGUUAAGACCGAAUAUAUAACCUUUUAGCUAAGCUCUCCACUUUCGAUGACUUCUGUAUUUUUUGAGCCGAAAUCAAAAAAGUGAUAUUUAGUUAUAACUCACUUUAUCAGCGUACUUUCGUAAAGUGACUUUCAUAUUCAUUUUCAUAAACCAAACAACCGAUAAGAUAUCACUUUCUAAAAGUACCACUUUCAAUGCUACACUUUCGGCGAAGCAAAUAUACCCUACACGAACUCAUAAGUGUAACACAGAAAACACGAUGAUCUCACACAAAGCUGUAUCAUCCAAAAUAUUAAUCUGAUAAAAACUUAAUGAC
RNAcentral lists this long non-coding RNA (2072 nucleotides) under Ananas comosus (pineapple). RNAcentral's name for it is "long non-coding RNA (ACOM_LNC019544)". The record is from RNAcentral. Lineage: Eukaryota; Viridiplantae; Streptophyta; Magnoliopsida; Poales; Bromeliaceae.